RNAcentral lists this ribosomal RNA (655 nucleotides) under uncultured eukaryote. RNAcentral describes it as "eukaryotic LSU rRNA". The stretch from base 234 to 388 matches the Rfam family "5.8S ribosomal RNA". The record is from RNAcentral.
ACUAGUGAUUUCCGUAGGUGAACCUGCGGAAGGAUCAUUCGCACAUGAUUGAACACAAUUCCAUCGAUUUUUUUUGUAUGGUUUGCUUGGGGAUGCUCAGUCGGGUGCCUCUUGCUGACUCUAAUGGGCGUUGGGUGGGACAUGAUGCAUUGCAAACUUGUCCGCUCCCAUCGUUGACUUCUUGCAUACAAGUUUAUGCCGCAUCUUUUUGAUAUAUGUAUCUGGGAGUUUACAAUUUUCAGCGACGAAUGUCUCGGUUCGAGCAACGAUGAAGGGUGCAGCGAAGUGCGAUAAGCAUUGUGAAUUGCAGAUUUCCGUGAGCCGAUAGGGACUUGAACACAUAUUGUGCUUUUGGGAUAUCCCUAAAAACAUAUGUGCUUCAGUGCCUCUUCAUAUUGAUCCUAAACAUUUUGCUUUAUAGUUAAACUGAUUUUAUGGUUUGCUGCUCCUCACAUUCUGUUGGCAUUCGUGUGGAUGUAUGUUUGAGGGUCUGUGAUUGACAAGACCGCUGUGUGUCGAUCAGCUUGGAAAUAUUUUUUUAUGAAUGAAGCUGAUUGUGCUCGCGGCAUCGUGAGUCUUGCUGUCGCGAUUGUGUUGCAACACGAAUUAUGUCAUGAAGUUAGAUUUGCAAACUCGCUGAAUUUAAGCAUAUCAA